Molecule: long non-coding RNA, 323 nt
Filed under: Elaeis guineensis (African oil palm)
Lineage: Eukaryota; Viridiplantae; Streptophyta; Magnoliopsida; Arecales; Arecaceae
Description: long non-coding RNA (EGUI_LNC070659)
Source: RNAcentral
CUGUGGCAGGCGACCCCCGCCUGAAACGUCGGCGACCUCGGGACAUCCGAGCCUCUCCCAAAAUGAUGAUGUGAAGAGCCCUUCUGCUCCAUCAGGCAUCCCAACCGAGCUUCAAUCAAUAGAUCCAAACUCUCUGACAAGCCACGACAAGAGCCGCCACCCUGCUCCACUCUCUGCAAUGGAUUCCAUGCAGCUCCACCACUCUUUGGCAAGUCACGACAACGGACACCACUUCACUCUCUGCAGUGAGCUCCACGUGGCCCUGGGCGACCUCUGAUGCCACUACUCUCCGUAACAAACUCCGCACGUCUCUGAACGGCCCA